AUACGGAGGAUGCGAGCGUUAUCCGGAUUUAUUGGGUUUAAAGGGAGCGUAGGCGGGAGCUUAAGUCAGCGGUUAAAUGGUGCGGCUCAACCGUGCCCUGCCGUUGAAACUGGGUUUCUUGAGAGUGCAAGAGGCGGAUGGAAUUCAUGGUGUAGCGGGGAAAUGCUUAGAUAUCAUGAAGAACUCCGAAUGCGAAGGCAGUCCGCUAGAGCACGUCUGACGCUGAUGCUCGAAGGUGCGGGAAUCAAACAGGAUUAGAUACCCUGGUAGUCCGCACGGUAAACGAUGAUUACCCGCUGUCGGCGGUAGACAGUCGGCGGCCAAGCGAAAGCGAUAAGUAAUCCACCUGGGGAGUACGCCGGCAACGGUGAAACUCAAAUGAAUUGGCGGGG
RNAcentral lists this ribosomal RNA (392 nucleotides) under uncultured bacterium. RNAcentral's name for it is "partial 16S ribosomal RNA". It matches the Rfam family "Bacterial small subunit ribosomal RNA", at positions 523 to 918 of the family's 1533-position model. The record is from RNAcentral.